GAUGAGCGCUAGCUACAGGCUUAACACAUGCAAGUCGAGGGGUAACGAGAGGAAAGCUUGCUUUCCUUGUCGACGACCGGCGCACGGGUGAGUAACGCGUAUCCAACCUGCCCCCAACUAAGGAAUAACCUUGCGAAAGUAAGACUAAUACCUUAUAAUUUCCUCAGAUGUCAUCUGACGAGGAAUAAAGAUUUAUCGGUUGUGGAUGGGGAUGCGUCUGAUUAGCUUGAUGGCGGGGUAACGGCCCACCAAGGCAACGAUCAGUAGGGGUUCUGAGAGGAAGGUCCCCCACAUUGGAACUGAGACACAGUCCAAACUCCUACGGGAGGCAGCAGUGAGGAAUAUUGGUCAAUGGGCGAAAUCCUGAACCAGCCAAGUAGCGUGCAGGAUGACGGCCCUAUGGGUUGUAAACUGCUUUUAUACAGGAAUAAAGUUAGCCACGUGUGGUUAUUUGUAGGUACUGUAUGAAUAAGGACCGGCUAAUUCCGUGCCAGCCGCCGCAGUAA
This 506-nucleotide ribosomal RNA is filed under the name uncultured bacterium. RNAcentral's name for it is "partial 16S ribosomal RNA". It matches the Rfam family "Bacterial small subunit ribosomal RNA", at positions 28 to 523 of the family's 1533-position model. The record is from RNAcentral.